AGAAGGAGGAGAGCAGAGAAAAGCAGGUGAAUAUUUGUAUCCUUAAGAGGCAGGUAAUAUAGCUGGUAAAGUUCUUGUCUAAUUUCUGAUGUUGGCCCAGUGGAGUUCUCCAAGGGGAAAGCAGCAACAAAGGAUAAGGAGGGAUCCUUGAGGGGUGAAUUUAGUCCUAUUCCAGUGCUGGCUAGUGGCACAAGCUACCAGCAUGACUCCAGGGCAGAUACUGAAUUUCCUCCAACCAUUGUUCCCUGUUUGUUAAAGAAGAGAUCUUUUCAGGUAUAAUACUUAUUUCCAGCUACCUAAAGGCCAAGCAGGUAAUAUAAAUGAGUGAAGUCAGCUGCAAAUUAAGCAGAAGCAUGAGCUGCUGAGCUCACGCCCCUUCUGACAAGAGUCAGAUGUUUCUUCUUGAAAGUGCACCAAACAAACGAAGUGAAUCUGCAGCUACGUUAAACCCAGGAUGGACUAUCCCUAGUUAUCCUUCCAGUUCAUAGCCAUAACUUCUAAUUUUGGGUUCAUUUGUCACUGGGGAUCAACGUCUUUGUUGCCUGCUGGUAUUGGACCAGAAUCAGGAAGAGAUUAAGCAAACUCAAUAGAAGAGGUAUUAAACUUGUUUGUUUAUAAGAACAAUGGCCCCCCUAAGCAACAAGUAAGAAUUUGGUGAUUAGAUGCCAAGGUCAAGGAAGAAACACAAUUAACUAAAUCCUAUCAUUGAAUAGAAUCCAUGUACAUUCUGCAGCCAGAAGAAAGAGGAAACAAAUCUCGAGAAUAUCUGGUCCUGUUUCAGUUUUGCUUAGAAAUGGCAACCCUAGUCUUAAGGACAAAGUUGAUCAACUGAGCUUCCAGGCUUCCCUACAAUAAAGGAGAUCAAAGUAGAUAGGGAACACAGUCAUCAGGCCCAGAUGUUUUGAAUUAGUCAGGAGGACUUGGUUUUACCCGUGCUGUUAAGUAUGGCAAUCAUGAACUGAUUACCUUUACUGACAUUUUAAGAGCAGCUGGUCUGAACACAAAUGAAGAAUUGGAGUUUACACCUUUCAGAGCCAUUUCUAUGAAUACUUCCUUCCUAAUGAUGCGUUUCUUCACAAAGCUUCAGAGUUGUUAGAGCUCUUUAUAGAGCCAGCUCCAAAAGUGGCCCCAGAGAUAAAUGGGCAGCUACUAUUACAAAGCCCGGUAAACACUAGAGAUGUCAGAGUGAAGUGGCUUUAUUAAGACACUUGUUUCUGCUUAGGUUCUAAAUUGUUUAUAAGAGGAAGGAAAAGUAACAAUUUAAAGCCAGAAACUUUACUGCCUCAUUUUUGCAUGCUAGGGGAAGUAGAAUCUCUCACAGGGGAGACAGCUUCUUAUUCAGGAUUUUACCUUGCUGGGACACUAAAUGGGAAAUGUGACCUGCUCCUUCCUUCGCCAGGCUUUAUGUUUCCACAGGAGAAACAGAAAGGAAGCUGGAUCAGUGAUCUGAACAUAAGAGGAGUAAAAUGUGGGAAUGAGGGCCUGGGAAAAGACAACGAGGAAAGUCAGAGGAGAGGCUUUGGAGAAGAGACAGCAGAGACAGCAGCUGCUCAUGGCUGGUGGUGGGAGAGCCAUUGGCCACUCUUAUGCUUGUCCCUGCUUCUGUUCACCACAGCCGUAGGGCUACUAGGAGGAAUUCGGGACAAGUACAAAGAAGGCAAGCUUGCUUUCUACAUGUCACGCCCUACUGUCAUGGAGGUAUGGACAAAGUACAGUGGAAACAUCAAGAACCAACCAAUCAGCCCUGGCACGGGGAGUCUGGAGGUCACCAAGAAGGGGAUAGAUGGGAAGGUGCUUACCAACUGGAGCAGGAACAGCAGGCUGAGCAUUCUGUGAGGAUACAGCCUAUGCAAGCCACUCAGGUUUGAAAGGACCUGAGCAGUUUAGAGAAAAGUCAAAUUUUGAUGGCUUUUUUUGUUCAAGCUAAACUUUUUUCUUUACUGCUUAAAAAAAAUAAGCAACAAAAAAAUGAAUAUGAAGAGGACAGGGCAUAAACAGAUUUUUGUCAUAAUAAGGCUUGAGGUGUGCCUUCCAACCACUUAUCUAUUCAAUAAAUGUCCACCAAGCUCUUAGAUGCCAGGACUAUGCUAGGCAGGGAGAAUUUAGUGAUCAACCAACAGAAUGGAUCUUAUUGUCAGGGCACUUACAGCUUGGCUAGGAGAUUGAUGUGAAAAAAUCAUCACAAUAAGCAAAGUUUAACUAUAAGUGGUGGAAAAUUCUAUGUAGGAAAGUCAAGCAUUAGUGUGACAGAAUUUAAAGGGAGACCUCACUUUGACUAGGGUUGGGUCAGAGUCAGGUCAGUAGGGCUUCCAGGUGAAACUCGAUGGAUGAUUAAGUACUAACCAAGCUGAGAGGGUUGUCAGGGCUGUGGAGCUUAGGAACUAGAAGGUUACCAAUCAAUUAGUAAGCGAUUCUAAUGGGCCAUGCAGAUUGCUGAUAGCCCAGCUACAAAAAUUCAAGGCUUGGUCUGUGUUAGCCACCGAUGCUACCUCUAGCUCUGACAUUUGAUAGCAAGAAUCUGCUAUAGCUAGGACAUUGUACUAGGUGCUGACUAGAAAAGUAAUAAACAUAUGUAAGAUAUAGCUCCUCAACAGAGUGAUAGUCCAACAAAUUGGACAUUUGAUGGAGGUUUACAGCUUAGCUACAUAUAUAUUAUGUUUAUAGGGCCUUAAAAAGAUUCCUAUAAAAGAGCAGAGAGACGCUGUUAAGGUCCCUUGCUUGCUUGCUUUUGGUGUCUUCUACUUGCCAUGAACUUCUCCUCUGUGAUGCCCCUCUGCUAAGGCACCCUGCCUUGGAGCCAGCUGAUUAUGGACUGAAACCUCCACAAACUGUGAGCUAAAUCUUACCCCCUUUAAAAAAAACAGAUUCUUAUAACACUUUUCAUUAUUUGUUGUUGAAAUUAUAGAAUGAUCUAUCACUCCCAGAACCCAACUUCUGCUUCCUAAGUUUCUUCUUUUGGAUCAACUCUUAUUUAAAGCUAAAUAGUCACAAAAGGAAAGAAGGGAAAAGAAUAAAUAUGAGAAAAGAAAAAAUGGAAACAAAGUCUUUGUAAAUGGGGGGGGGGGUGAACAGGUUGAAGGGUGGGAAGGGGAAUGGGGAAAAAAUAAGAACCAAGAUAUAUUAUGUAAAGGUAUAAAUUCCCAACAAUGAAUGUCAGCAUAUUGUAUACCUAAAAUGUAC
Heterocephalus glaber (naked mole-rat) is the source of this 3180-nucleotide long non-coding RNA. Lineage: Eukaryota; Metazoa; Chordata; Mammalia; Rodentia; Bathyergidae. The record is from Ensembl.